UCCGGUUCUCGUUAGAUCACCGAAGUCAAGCAUCAUUGGGCGCGGUCAGUACUUGGGUGGGUGACCACCUGGGAACACCGCGUGCCGUU
Molecule: non-coding RNA, 89 nt
Organism: Caerostris darwini
Lineage: Eukaryota; Metazoa; Arthropoda; Arachnida; Araneae; Araneidae
Source: the annotation of a GenBank genome assembly